Pseudoliparis swirei is the source of this 380-nucleotide long non-coding RNA. RefSeq lists it as uncharacterized. NCBI's taxonomy places the organism in Eukaryota, Metazoa, Chordata, Actinopteri, Perciformes, Liparidae. The record is from RefSeq and is a predicted model, not a curated record. The transcript has 3 exons.
CCAGGCCAGCAGGUGGCGGUAAUGCACCAAAUAUAUUGAUGCAAACCGCUGUUUAGAGCAGAAGAAGUAUCACACUGCAGCUUUGGCGGCCUGGUCUGCAGUCUGCUCCGUCUGAGACGACACUAUGGAGAUGUUUGGACUGCAGUAUAAUGAGCAUGGUUGCCCCCAGUUCCUGUGGACUGGGACCAGCACAGGACCAAGACUGCCCGACCUCCUUCAGAGCAGUGCAUCCACUGCACAGUCAUCGUAAUGGACGUGGCACUAAGGAGGAUUGUCCAGCCGCACGUUUGUUAUGUUAUUAUGCUUUGAAGUUUAUGAAUCAUACCAGUAUUUGCUUUUUGAAGAGACCAAUUGACACCAUUAUUGUUUCUGCAAUUUUG